RNAcentral lists this ribosomal RNA (292 nucleotides) under uncultured bacterium. Its description in RNAcentral is "partial 16S ribosomal RNA". It matches the Rfam family "Bacterial small subunit ribosomal RNA", at positions 505 to 796 of the family's 1533-position model. The record is from RNAcentral.
GUGUCAGCAGCCGCGGUAAUACGUAGGGUGCAAGCGUUAAUCGGAAUUACUGGGCGUAAAGCGUGCGCAGGCGGUUAUGCAAGACAGAUGUGAAAUCCCCGGGCUUAACCUGGGAACUGCAUUUGUGACUGCAUAGCUGGAGUACGGUAGAGGGGGAUGGAAUUCCGCGUGUAGCAGUGAAAUGCGUAGAUAUGCGGAGGAACACCGAUGGCGAAGGCAGUCCCCUGGACCUGUACUGACGCUCAUGCACGAAAGCGUGGGGAGCAAACAGGAUUAGAUACCACCGGAGUAC